RNAcentral lists this ribosomal RNA (1371 nucleotides) under uncultured bacterium. Its description in RNAcentral is "partial 16S ribosomal RNA". It matches the Rfam family "Bacterial small subunit ribosomal RNA", at positions 28 to 1381 of the family's 1533-position model. The record is from RNAcentral.
GCUGACCGCUGGCGGAGCGCCUAAUCCGUGCAAGCGCAGCGAACAGACCAGGACCUUGCUCCCCUGACAUUAGCCGAGGACCGUGGAUCACCACGUGUAUAACCUACCUAUUAGACUGGGAUAGACUUCCCGAAACCGGAGCUCAUACCGGAUACUAUAUUGCACCGCAUGGAUCAAUAGUGAAAGACGGCUUUGCUGUCACAUAUAGAUGGCUCCCCUCCUCACUAGCUAGUUGGUAAGGGCACGGCUUACCCAGGCAACUAUGCGUAGCCGACCUGAGAGGGUGAUCCGCCACCCUGCAACUGAGACACUCUCCCGACUCGUAUGGGAGGCACCAGCACGGACUCUUCCGCAAUGGGCGAAAGCCUGACCGCUCAACGCCGCGAGAGUGAUGAAGGUCUUCGGAUCGUAAAACUCUGUUAUCAUGGAACAACAAAUGUCUAAUUCACUAUGCACGGCUUGGCGGUACCUAAUCUGAAAGCCACGGCUAACUACGUGCCAACAGCCCCGGUAAUACGCAUGUCGCAAGCGCUAUCCGGAAUUAGUGGGCGAACAGCGCGCGUAGCGGUUUUUUAGUCUGAUGUGAAAGCCCACGGCUCAUCCGUGGAGGGUCAUUGGAAACUGGAAAACUUGAGUGCAGAAGAGGAAAGUGGAAUUCCAUGUGUAGCGGUGAAAUGCGCAGAGAUAUGGAGGAACACCAGUGGCGAAGGCGACUUUCUGGUCUGUAACUGACGCUGAUGUGCGAAAGCGUGGGGAUCAAACAGGAUUAGAUACCCUGAUAGUCCACGCCGUAAACGAUGAGUGCUAAGUGUUAGGGGGUUUCCGCCCCUUAGUGCUGCAGCUAACGCAUUAAGCACUCCGCCUGGGGAGUACGACCGCAAGGUUGAAACUCAAAGGAAUUGACGGGGACCCGCACAAGCGGUGGAGCAUGUGGUUUAAUUCGAAGCAACGCGAAGAACCUUACCAAAUCUUGACAUCCUCUGACCCCUCUAGAGAUAGAGUUUUCCCCUUCGGGGGACAGAGUGACAGGUGGUGCAUGGUUGUCGUCAGCUCGUGUCGUGAGAUGUUGGGUUAAGUCCCGCAACGAGCGCAACCCUUAAGCUUAGUUGCCAUCAUUAAGUUGGGCACUCUAAGUUGACUGCCGGUGACAAACCGGAGGAAGGUGGGGAUGACGUCAAAUCAUCAUGCCCCUUAUGAUUUGGGCUACACACGUGCUACAAUGGACAAUACAAAGGGCAGCGAAACUGCGAGGUCAAGCAAAUCCCAUAAAGUUGUUCUCAGUUCGGAUUGUAGUCUGCAACUCGAUUAUAUGAAGCUGGAAUCGCUAGUAAUCGUAGAUCAGCAUGCUACGGUGAAUACGUUCCCGGGUCU